UACUACCGAAGCUACGGCAUCAGUAAUGAUGGGUAGGGGAGCUUCCCAUACGGGUUGAAGCAUGACCGUAAGGACAUGUGGACAGUAUGGGAGUGAGAAUGUUGGCAUGAGUAGCGAGAUGUGGGUGAGAAUCCCACAGGCCGUAAACCCAAGGUUUCCAGGGGAAGGUUCGGCCGCCCUGGGUUAGUCGGGACCUAAGCUGAGGCCGAAAGGCGUAGGUGAUGGACAACAGGUUGAUAUUCCUGUACUACCGAUAACCAUUUGAGAGAAGGGAUGACACAGUAGGAUAAGCUAAGCACACUGUUGGUUAUGUGUGCCCAAGCAUUGAGGCAGUCAAAGUAGGCAAAUCCGCUUUGAUAAUGCUGGGAUGGGAUGGGGAGCGAAAUU
RNAcentral lists this ribosomal RNA (387 nucleotides) under Clostridioides difficile. RNAcentral's name for it is "bacterial LSU rRNA". It matches the Rfam family "Bacterial large subunit ribosomal RNA", at positions 1189 to 1580 of the family's 2925-position model. The record is from RNAcentral. Lineage: Bacteria; Bacillati; Bacillota; Clostridia; Peptostreptococcales; Peptostreptococcaceae.